UGCGCAGGCGGCCUGAUAAGUCAGAGGUGAAAUAUGUCGGCUCAACCGACAAACGGCCCCUGAAACUGUCAGGCUUGAGUCCGGGAGAGGUUGGUGGAAUUCCAGGUGUAGCGGUGAAAUGCGUAAAUAUCUGGAGGAACACCGGUGGCGAAGGCGGCCAACUGGCCCGGUACUGACGCUCAAGCACGAAAGCUAGGGGAGCGAACAGGAUUAGAUACCCUGGUAGUCC
RNAcentral lists this ribosomal RNA (229 nucleotides) under uncultured bacterium. Its description in RNAcentral is "partial 16S ribosomal RNA". It matches the Rfam family "Bacterial small subunit ribosomal RNA", at positions 568 to 796 of the family's 1533-position model. The record is from RNAcentral.